CACGUAGGCGGAUAUUUAAGUCAGGGGUGAAAUCCCAGAGCUCAACUCUGGAACUGCCUUUGAUACUGGGUAUCUUGAGUAUGGAAGAGGUAAGUGGAAUUGCGAGUGUAGAGGUGAAAUUCGUAGAUAUUCGCAGGAACACCAGUGGCGAAGGCGGCUUACUGGUCCAUUACUGACGCUGAGGUGCGAAAGCUGGGGAGCAAACA
This 206-nucleotide ribosomal RNA is filed under the name uncultured bacterium. RNAcentral describes it as "partial 16S ribosomal RNA". It matches the Rfam family "Bacterial small subunit ribosomal RNA", at positions 568 to 774 of the family's 1533-position model. The record is from RNAcentral.